CCUACGGGUGGCAGCAGUGGGGAAUAUUGGGCAAUGGGCGCAAGCCUGACCCAGCAACGCCGCGUGAAGGAAGAAGGCCCUCGGGUUGUAAACUUCUUUUAUCAGGGACGAAGCAAGUGACGGUACCUGAUGACUAAGCCACGGGUAACUACGUGCCCGCAGCCGCGGUAAUACGUAGGUGGCAAGCGUUAUCCGGAUUUGCUGGGUGUAAAGGGCGUGUAGGCGGGAAAGCAAGUUCGAUGUGAAAACCAUGGGGUCAACCUGUGGCCUGCAUUUGAAACGGUUUUUAUUGAGUACUGGAGAGGCAGGCGGAAUUCCUAGGGUAGCGGUGAAAUGCGUAGAUAUUAGGAAGAAACCCAGUGGCGAAGGCGGUCUGCUGGACAGCAACUGACGCGGGGGCGCGAAAGCGUGGGGAGCAAACAGGAUUAGAUACCCGGGUAGUC
RNAcentral lists this ribosomal RNA (443 nucleotides) under uncultured bacterium. Its description in RNAcentral is "partial 16S ribosomal RNA". It matches the Rfam family "Bacterial small subunit ribosomal RNA", at positions 338 to 795 of the family's 1533-position model. The record is from RNAcentral.